GGGGGCGGUAGCAGCAAGCAGCUGCCUCAGAGCGUGCUGGGUGCUUCCAGAAACUUCCAGUGAGAACUACUUGGAAAUUACAGGUAAGAACCGAGUUUCUGGCACUGCAGAGAGAAUACCCUGUUGCUGGGCAAAGAAGCAGCUCAGCAGGUGCAGCUAUUAAUGAGGCAGGUGGCCAGGUGGGCUGUAGCAGAGAGCUGGUGUUUGGGCAGGGAGCCAUUUUGGCGCACUCACCUCACAGCACCGAGGGACCCCGAGGGACCCCCAGGGACCGGGGAGCAGUGCCUCGGGGAGCCCCACACAGCCCCACCGUGCACUAAUAACCAACUCCUGCUUGAAGCUUUGCUGUUCUGUGGCAUAGCCUGAAGGGAAGCUGAAGAAGCAGCUCAGAGCAAGGUCUCUGAGGCAGUUGGCCCUGGGGACACAGCUGCUGUGCUGGUGCCAGGGUUGAUGGGCUGCACCUGGGCCUAGCCUCCCACCAAGUCCUGAUGGGGGAGCACAGUCCCUCAGCAGAAGCUAUAUAUAGGCCAGUUUCUAGCCGGCAGCAACCUUCAUUCUCUCAGGUAGCCCCUCAGGAGAGGUGCUUAGUAUGAAGUUCUGUGCACCCGGCUGGCUACACUCACAGGCUGUGGUGUGAAGAGACUUGGACCUGCUAAUGAACAUCUGAAUGCAUGUAUAUUCUUGGAAACCUGUUUUACCACAAACAUUUGAACCUGAAAUGCCAGAUUCAUAACCCAACAAACUGAUUUGUUGUCAACUACUGUGCUCACACUGGUUCAGAUGCUGUGCUUCUCCUGUGAGAAACCUGUGCAAGUUUCCAGAGUGUGAAUCCCUUAAACUGCAGCAGCAAUGAUGGCUCCUCCUUGGCAGAAACAUGCUGAGAGGCAGUUGGGAAUCCCCUGCUCUGGAGCUGCAGCCUGAGGAACCUCAGCGUGUAAGAAGCGUCUCUGAGGCACUCACAUGGUGAUGGUUAUACAUCUCCUGCUUACCCCAACUUAGUGAAAGCUGUCUUCAAGCAAAUAAGACUGGCAGCAAGGCUGGGAGUGCAAUCACCUGCUGGCAUAAUCCCUGGACUCUUCUUAAAGGAAUUCUAAAAAGGGAAACUCAGGAAUGCCUACCUGACUGUCCAGAGAACUGCCAUCCAGAGGAGCAUCCUACAGCAGCACAAGCAUUUCAUCUUCUGGAUUUGUGGAGACAUGUGGGAUUUGUUGAUGCUGAAGGCAGGAGGAAGUCAAGGGAGAAAAAAAGAAUUCUGGGAGGAAACUUGGUAAAACCGAAGAUCCAAAGUGAAACAUCAGGAAACAUCACCAAAAUGAAGCCCGUUGGAUGUUUGCAGCUGUUUCUUUAGUCCUGAUUAACAGGGAUUUUCUGAGAAGAGCUGCACAAGUGCAGUCCCCAUUCAGCGUACAGAUUUUCCAGAGUGAUCUCCAAGUUGUAAUGGACAACCUCUUUCCUGCCAGCAGAGCCCAGAGAGGAAUAAACCAAGACCACCAGCUAAGUCAUUGUGUAAUGUGCUGUGGAUAUGAGCAUCGAAUGCCCUCAGAAAACUGGAGUUGUUAUGAGAAUGGUGCAAAAGAAUCUUAUGAGAAAUAUCCAACAAAAUGUCCACUUCACGAUGUCACUUGCUCCGAGUUUCAAAAAAUCAUUAAAUAUAAUUACGCUAAUUUGGCAAUGACUCAGGACCAAAUCAUCCUUUUGCGGGAAUUACCUACGAAGGAAACUGGACGCUCCAUGGCAUCUGUGUCAUCCUUCCCUCCAGAUGGUGCCUCCAAAUCUGUUCUGAAAUGGCAUGUGCAAAGCAAAUCCAGAGUGCCUAUCAUUCAGCCCUCUGAUGGCAACUCUCAGACAACUCGGGGACAGACAGAACACAAAACCAGAAAUAAGGACUUGCAACCGUGGCUGAAGAUGCCCAGAGAGUCGUGUAUGUAACAGCCAGCGAGAGGCAGAUGACAGCAACAAGAAAUUUCACAGCUCCAAAGAGUGAACGUACCACGGAUUAGUACCGGAGACAGAAAUACUUCUAUGAAAACCAUGAAGGAAGUUCCGGAAUCUAGAGUAACUCUCGGAUGCACAGAACUGGAGACUUAAAAGAUCCUCAGUUCCCCCAGGACCUGAGCAUGUAGAAACGUGGGGGCCUGGCUGUCCUUCUGGUCUGCACGCGUGGCCUCAAGCCCGAAUCCCUACAACAGCAUCUCCACUGGCAGCAAAGCGCUUCUUUGCCCUUUACCACUGAACUGCUGUGGCUUGAUUGUGUGAAACUGAGUUUCAGGAUGCAAGAUACUGUUCAGAUAGUUCUGCAAUACAUUCUUCAGACCCAGCAGCUUUGGCAGGCCCGUGGAUGAUGGAAUAACCAGAUCUCUGCGGCCACCCCUGAAAAACAGAUUCUUUCUUCUGGAUUCCCUGGGAUUCUCUCAGCAGCCAGCCUUGUUUACAGAAGUCAGCGCGGACAGUAACAGCCCUUCACCAAUGAGCCACAGUGGACCCUUUGGGGAAGGCUCCUCACGGUGCUCUGUCAUCUGCUGACAAAGUGGUGCCAGGACCAGAACUUCACAAUGAACUCUGCGGAGAAAAAUCCACAGCAGAUGAAGGAAUCUCGAAGUCAGUGACAGGUAGACUCAGGCUUAAAGUGAGAGGAUCCCCCACGUCACUGGUUUCAACUAGAGGAUACGUCUGUGCUAUGAGAAUACUCAGUAUGAGAAACGUGCUGCGAAACAGAGGCAGCCAGUUGGAGCAGUGCUUCAGACUAAGCUGAGGUCAGUUUUAGAAUCACAGAACACUUCAGGCUGGACAGGAACUCUUGAUGUCACCUCAAUCCACGCCCUGCUCAAAGAAGGUCUCACUACGUCAGAUCGCUCAAGGCUGCAGCCAGUCAAGUUGAACCCUCAAAUGGGGAGCCUCUGCUGAAUGCUGGUUACUGCAAGGUUCAGGCACCCAAGUAUGUGCUUAUGUGAGUGGGAGUACAACGUACCUACGCCUACCUACGUGUGCUUACCUACAGACAUUUUUAUUUUCAAUGUUCUGAUUCCAGCGGCCUUUUCAAGAGACAAAAGAAAGUUAAAAAUAAAAUUAGAGCCUAAAAACAAUGGAUUUGCAGUAGCCAGCACAAUGCCAGUCUGCACUGUUGCGAAAGACCUGUGCAUAAACAUUCAUAGGGAUGAAUUCAGAGGUGAUGGGCGACACAGACUGAGGAAAAGGAGCCCAGAGAGUAGGUAAUAAUAAAGAAAAUCAUGAAAAGAGGAAACAGAGAAGGAAAAGCAGCUAAGUGAAAGGUAUGUAACACCUAAUCUAAAGCACAUUUCUCUCUCCUUCAGCGCACACAAAACUUUUACCGGUUCCUUUUUAUGGUUAUUGAAUGCCUACAUUACCUGAAAGUGGAAUUUAUUGAGCUGAGUGUUAAACUCUAAGUUUUACAAAUAAGCUUCCGUACAAAAAUAUUUAUUAUCUGUAACGUACAUCAUCAGCUCUUACACUCCCACUGCGUUCAUCCAUUGUCUCCCAAUACAGUUACCGUGAACGUAUGUCAGAAUAUACGUCAGCCUCAGAAAUACACACUUGUACUGCAGUGACUAUUUUCUAUUCCUUAUUUCUUUGCCUCUAUUUUAAACAACGGAUGUGUACGUUUGCUUAGAACCUAGCUUCUGAAACAGAAGGACAAAAUUACUGGUUCUGACAGCUGUGAAAACAUUUCCAUAAUACAGAAAAUCUAAAUGCCUCUUCAUUCAAUCACUUUCUCAAUGAAAACAUCCCAGGAUUAAAGAAAUCCAGGGAAAGAGAAAAGAUUAACCUAGAAAAGGCAAAUAAGCAAGUGAAUAAAGCUGGGUUUAUUGCUUCCUGCUUCAACAAUGUCCAACAAGAUCUGGGCCAUGGUGCCACAGCUUUCACACGCGUGUGCAGUGGACACAGCUCCCCUGCAUGCAAACAAUGCACCAGCUUGCGUGAAGUGAAUUGGGGCCAGCACAAUUGUUUGAAGGAGGAGGGAUGCACAGUCACUGGAAGCACAGAAGCGCCUUUUCUCUCUGGUUUCAUGCAGCUGACAUACCGAGCAGAGGAGCCAGAGAGAACAUGUAAUGGAAAUAAAUGACUUUGCAGACCCAACGGAAGGAGGUGGGAGCGAAAAAGCAUCCUCACCCCCUGCCCGGCGGCUGCGUAAAUCUGUCCCUGCCAGGAGAGCUCCGGGAGGUGCUCAGCGGCCGCCUCCCCAGGAGUCAGUGAGAGUUCAGGUGCUUACUGUGUCAUCAGGCUUGACCUUCACAUGCGACACUGCCAGGACGUUUGUUUUCCCACAGCAGUGAUUGCUUCAGUCAAUUAUUAUUGCCCAUCGUAGAGUGCAAACACAUAAGGGCUUGAUUUACAGUGCAAAAAUAUACAUCCUGAAUUUACUUCCUCUUUUGUUUUUGGACUGUCAUAGCAUCUCCACCUUAAAGAGAUGACAGCAAAUUACUUCAUAGGUAAAUAUAUGUAUGUAUAGGGAAGGAUAAAUAGCAGUCAUUCGGGUCAUUGUGAGAUGAACGUUCAGUAUAGCUUCAGAUCGGCUGUGUCAGACGUGACAAUAUAUUUUAAGCUUUUUGUUUUAAAAUUUUCAUUUUUUCUGCUUUUCUUUGAAGAAAUCAUCAUUCGCAAAUUUUGCAAGUUGGCAAUCUAACCUCUAAAUCCAUUCUAACGCAGAUUUAAGAUUGUGCAUUCAGUUCCUUAAGCAAUGUUUAGGUAUUACCAAUAUACUGAAAGAUAGAUGAGACAGCCUCAUGGUAAUACAGCUUUUAACCUUUCCUCUCCUCUACCAUGACGGGGGAGAAUUACAGUAAAUGAUGGUUACCUUGUCUGCAGUAUGGACAAUUGAUUUGACCUCACUGCAUCUGAUGCUCUAAUGGACUUUGUGGCUGAAUCCCUGGAGAUAUAAAAUAUGUCCAAGUGAAUUGGGGCAGGUUAAAGAACGGACCUGCUUUUCAUGGCUGGCUCAAGCUAUAAUAGAUCUCCCGGUUGUUCUGAGAAGAAGAUUAAAAAUGAUCAAUAUCCAAAUCAUUAAAAAAAAAAAGCGGUGGCUUCUGUAAAUCUACCAUAGGUGGGUUUUUUUUCCUGCUAAACGCCGGAGGAGGGUGUCUGGGUUGAUAACGUGAGUUUCCAUAACAAAUGUUUACUUCUGUUUACUCUCUAGUAACAUGUUCCUUUUUAUAUUAAGACUCAGACACACAGAUGGCGUGAUUCAGCACUGCUUUCCUGAAGUCAUGCUUGUUUACACCAUGAAGAGUCAGGCCUUAGGUUUAUUUAAUAUAGAUAAAAUAACAAUACUAUAAUAUUUCCUGAAGCAGAAAAUAAAAUCAAGGACAGAUUUCAGAGAAUGAUGGCAACUGCGAUAACUGUGAACAUCCUCACAGUUCUGCUAGCCACAGUGUCUAAGACAAAAAUAAAGGUUUAAUUUAGUGAGGAAAAAAGAAAAAAAAGAUUUUCCUUGGCUGCUCUGAGUCCUUCAUUUGGCAAAGUGCAAUUGAACAUCUUGUUUAUCCUUUCCCACCCUCUCACGAACAUCUCUGCUCUUUUCUCACCAGCACACAACUGAGCUCAAGGUGAGUGUAAGUCUGUCCAGCCCCUGGAGGUGCCAGGAGAAAAGCUUUCACAGCCCACAGCUGGGAGCUCACCCACAGACCUUCCUCUCUACAUACAGCAGCAAUGGGGCAGGCAACUUCAGUGGGCUUAUACGUAUGCACAUGCUUAGCUUCCUGUAAAACCCAUGCAUUAAGGAGACAGAUGCACAGCUGUUCCAUCUGAGGCAUGCAUGUAUUGGUUUCUGCACUUAUUCAGUAAACUUGAAAUGCAGAGGAGCCCAAAUCUCUGUUCUGAACAGUUUGAGGUUGUUUGGAUCUGACAUCUCUGUGCGUUCACUGACAGAAAUAAGCUAAUUAUGAACCUGAGUUGGAAGAGGGAUGCCCUUUUUCUGAGUUUUGAGAAGUGUCUGGGCAGAGUAAUUGGACUGCCCUAUCUCAACUGCGUUACAGCAAUCGAGCAAAUGCGAAAAGUCUUCCUUAGAAAGGAAGAAAUAUGUGUUUUUAAGUGCUAGGACAAUUCCACGUAACAUCACGGUUUGCAUCUAUACCCACAGUACGCAGAGAUUCAUGCAGAUGUCCAACAAAUUGAAAAGGCUUCAAAUAUAUUUUAUCUAGUUGUAUGUUUAACAGUAUUUACCUUUUGCCUUUCACAGGUUGCUUUAAAAUCUGACUAUGUAAUAACAUCCUCUGAAUGAUUUAAUUUAAGCUAACGUGCUAUCCCUUUAUGUAAAAAGUAAAGGUAUUUUGAAAGCCCUUGCUGAAUACUCUGAGGUUGCCUCUACUGUGUGGCUAGCACUGGGCUGAAUGCCUAGCAUCCGUGCGUAGAAGAGGGAACAACUGCUGCCCCUCCGAUCUGGCUAUUCUUGUAUCUGGAAACAUUGUCAGGUGCUACAAGCAUCACGCCAUCUGAAAGGCCAAAGUUGAGUACUACGUUAUUGGAGUAGAUGACACCUUAUUCUUAUUCUUCAACAAUUCUAACAACUUAGAGUCCCUCACUGUCCCUUUAUGAACACAGAUGUCAUUCUGAGGGGGGGGACAGCCAAAAUGACAAGAAGGUGACCUGUCGGUGAACUCAGGAGCAGGUGAGGCCUGUCAGCUUCUAAUUUGAAACUGGUGUCAGUCCUGAGGAAUGGCUGGUAUAAUCACAUUUGUAACUGAUAUCCUAUAAACGCUGCAAACAUUCACAGUGCGCCUGUUAUGAGUAAUAUGAAAUUAACAAUUCGUGUUUAUGACACAAGACACCGACCGAAUCAAGCAGGUCUCCGUAACUGGAUCAGCUCCGUCUGUCUGCCAGAGCAGCGCAUCGAACUGCUUCAACCAAAGCCAAAUUACUGUGUGCUUAUGUUACAAUAGGCAUUGUAUUUAUUUUGAAGACAAACUUUUGUAACUAGGCGUAAAGUGAGGACCUCAGAACCAGCUUCUCGCUCAAGUUAUUGCAUAUAAAACUUCUCUUGCUCGAGCCCAGCCAUUAAGAUGUUCGUGACUUUUAAGUUAAGAGUUUGGGACCUAACAAAUCACGUGUUGUAUCUCACAUUUUCUGAAUAACUGAAGGGAAGGCUCUGUGUAAAUCUUCUCUCUCAGACACAUAAAUUACCAGCUGCGUGAAUACUGCCAUUAAGACAAGCAGACAAGUGCGAGGGGUGGGGACAGGGCAGGAUGCCCCAAAGAGGUGGAGUUACAGAGAAAACAAGGCAUUUGCUUACUGAGUAAUUUAUGCUUCAUCUGCCUUCACUGUAGCUCGGUAAGAAUGAACACCAUGAGGCAGUCUGUCAGGCGCUCUCACUUCACUACCGCCAAGGCAUUUUUCUGCAAAUUAGGUAUUUGCUUCCUAUUUCUAGUCACUUCCACCUGGAUUUUUUAUUAGGAAAAGUCAAAAUCAUAGUAUCUGAAGCUAAGAUUUGAAUUGAAGUUACACUAAAAGAUAAACUGUUGCUCAAGUAUAUUUCACAUUUGAAGACAGCAAAAUCUCACAAUCCUUUGCACAAUUAUUUCCAGUCCAAACUGACAGAAGCUCUAAAGUUCGGGUCCUUUCCUGCCUGCACUGCUGCUGAGCCUGGUGCAUAGAUUAGAAGUUCCUUUCCAAUAACAAGCAAAAUAAAAGAAGAACCAUACGAAGAAUCUAUUGCAAUUGUUACACUGGAAUUUAGUUAGCAGAGCUACAAAAACGCAAGUCCAAAUCCCAAGUAGCUAGUGGAGAUUUCUGAACGGUUCUGUACACCUUCACGUAGACAAUCCAGUGGAGCUAACAACCUACUGUAGCACUCUUUUGUGAUAGGCAAAUACCAUUCAUUUCCAUUUUCCACAGAAGAACUGCACUCCACAGAGCUUCAGCAAUGUAAACAAGGCCAGGUACAGCAUUACAGCUGUGGUUCAGGCAACAACAUUCCUUGUCCUCUGACACAACACUUACACAUCAUACUUGUAACACUACCUAGUUCAAGUUGGUGGUCAAUACCACCUAAUUAGCAGAGUAAAAGUGCAAUUUUGAAACCAACUUACAAAACUGCUACAACCAACCUACAAAACUCCAUCAUACCAAAGAAAAAUUAUGGCUCUAAAUUUCACAAUCACUCUCUGCCAACCAAAAACUCACCUUUAAGAAGAGUCAGGGCUGAAAGCUGAAAGUUGAGGCAGUCAUCUCUCAACGUGUAGAACUCCUCACGUUGCUACGAAGGUACAGCACGGUUGUUCAGUGUUUGGAUAAAGUACUGCAUGGGAACUGUUGAAUCACAGCCUGAACCACCAAUUGAUCACCUGAGGCAAGGACUGAAUCAGCUGUGGGAGCACAGGUGAAAGCAAUUCAGCUAUGUGACCAGAAGCUGUGUGACCACAUUCCACCCCUCCCAGACCCCAUUUAAGGGCUGACUAACACUGGGGAAGAAUCUCCUUGUGGUGAUCCCUCCUUUGUGGAGCUUUUCAGUGUGAGCCUAAAUCUUUGCAUACAGAGUUAAUGGAGACGCUCCAAACAGAGGAUUAAGUGGAAAGCAGAGUUUUGCAGCAACCUGAGAUAUUAAAAGGAAAACCAACUGACAGAGCAGAAAAAAGACAGCCAACUUACGGCAACGCGGCAGUAUUUUCCACCAAAAAGUCGCCGUUAAAUCCCCCGCAAUUACUCACAGCUAUCGGGGUGCGCAGUGGCCGUGACACCCGUCUGAGCUGCACAUCACAGACACUGUAACUGCUGGGCUCACCUGAAUGUGUUCCCACGUGCCAUGCACUGCUGGCGCUCUCAUGGCUCCACACAAUGCCUGCAUUUCACCCGACAUCGCGCUUCAACACCGUGGCAUGGCUGCAUUAGCUGCUGCUGGAGGACAAAUAAGGAAAGGAAACGGGAAAGGAGGCGGAGUCCAUCCCUGGCUUCCUCAUACUUUCAUUUGAAUGGGAUUUGGAUUCUGCCUGUCAUUGUGAAGUAGACUGGAAAAGAGUACUGUCAACACAGAUGAAGACUCAGUGUGAAUAAAAUUAAAAUAAUUAAGUUCUGUUCAACAUCAGUUUGGCCCUGCUUGAGUUGCCAGGACUCCGUACACAAUUUGGGAUGGGGGUUGGGUUUUUUUUUUCGUUGACUGUGGUUUCCUUGGUUGGAAUGCUAUGUCUAAGACCACCAUCCAGGAGAAUGAAGGUCUUCCACCCAAGGGCAACAUCUGUUAUCUACACAUUUGGAUAUUGUGUCCAAAACAGGAGAUAUCAGCUUUGGAGGAACGCGAUUUCAGAGUAUGAAGCAGUUCCAAAGACCACUUGGACUUGAUCUCCAAAUGCCUGAGAUAGAUACAAGCCUUGAAAGUGACCCUCGACACCCUGGGAUCUUCUGUGUAAAAGGCUGAAGCACCCAGGGGGUGUAUCCUUGACUGUGCUGCUGAGUCAAUUAAUUACAGUGCUCGAAAUAAAAUGAAGCUUUGGUUAAGGUAGGAAAAGAGAAAAUAGUACUAAGGUUAACAGUUUGUGAACGUAUAUGUUAAAUAUAUGCAUGUCCCUAUACAGCAGGAAAAGAAAAGGAGUUGGAGGAGAGCAAUUCUAUAUCCUAGUGCCUGUUAUCUGGGCAGAGCAAGGAACUGAGGAGACAUACCCAGGAGCAGCCCACGGCUCUGCAGCGUUGCUCACGCUGAUACCCUACUGCAGCCCAGCAGGGUGCCAAGGAGCUGCUGUGGGAACUGGCUGGAGCAACAACAGAGCCCAGCCAGCUCCCUCCCAUUGACAGCAAGCUCAGCAAAGCAUUGAAGCUGGCUGAACUUACACCUUGGGGUGGUUCAGUGUCACCUGCUCAGAAACAAGGAGCAGCUUUGCUAGACCGUCCCAGCAGCACAGAAGUGCCAUCUGGACCUGGGAGAAGUGUGAAUCUUGUCUCAACUACAGAUGAUCCUAGCACUGUGCAAGCAAACACCCUUAAGGAAAGAGUGCAAUAUGAAUUUGGGUGUAACCAAGCUAUGGUGAGGUCCCCUCCAAAGGAGCAAGAUUAAAUAUGGCUGUAUGAGCCAGCACUAAUCUACUGAGAAGUGGGCAUGCUGGACCAUAGGCAGCCAGCAGUUCGCAGCACAUUGGGGUGCUCCCAUGGCCUGCAGAGAAGAGGGCUACAUGAGACAAGUGUCCCCCUCCAGAGCUUCAAAUGGACCUGAAGCUCCAUGCUUCUCCCCGUGGGAACAAGCUCAAUUUUGUGCUUUGGUCUAAAGAGAGAUCAAGAAGCACUACCAGAACCAGAGCCAGAAAGGAAUGGGUAAUGGGGUGAGUAAGAAGCCUACCAAACCUGUUCAGACUGCUCCUGGGAAGAACAACAGUGACAGCAGAUGGCAGUGCCCAGGAAAUGACUGGGGCUGGUGGGCAGCACUAUUCAGCACUUCCAGCACUAAUUUGAUAGCUGGUGGGCAGUGGUGAAGGGAAAGCAAUGGGGUCAGGUGGGAUGAGGCCACUCUGGAUAGACACUGUUCCUAUCUCUCAGACCUAAAUGCCCCUCCUUACAGGGGCAGGUGCUCAACAAUUCGCUCCAGCUCCAGUGCAGAGCAGAGGGAGCUGUUCUGAAAAUGUAAAACAAAGAAGAAAAAUAACGUUUGGCUAGAAGAAGGACUUUGCAAAAUUUCAUAAGCACAUCAUGGGGAUUUAUUUAAAUACUCUUUCAAAACUUGCAUAACAAGGAAGUAGAUGCAGAUAAUUCUUAUGCGUCUCACCAACACUACAAACAAGACCCAUUUUUCAAUGACAGUAUUGAAAAUGUUUCCUCCCUUGAGUUACACGUAGUCAAGAUUGUCACAUGGGGAUUUUUAAAAAAAUCCCUUAAGCUGGGAAUAUUUAAGAUAACUUUCAGAAGAUCUCUGUCUACAUUUCACUGUUUUAAGUCUCCUUUCAUAAUUAUGUUUAAUGUAACCUCUGCAAAACAAAUAAAAUCACUCAUUUCCAACAGACAUUCACCCACUGCAAUGAGCUCAAAGAAAGACAGACAAUAGCAGAGGAUAAGCGGCUGAGAGUGGACAGCCACGUCCUCCAGCCAAGCAAACCCCAGAAAGUAAGACAGUGUUUUUCAUCGGUCCUUUACAGUUCAGCAUUUAGAGCUGUCACAUUUCUCACCUCACAGAAAGUCCCACUGAAGGACAUCUAGCAGAGCUCUCUCCCUCUCACUAGCAGCCCUCUGCUAUGCACACGAGCCACAGCUUAAUGCAGAUACAUACAUUUUUACCAGCUCUUCCUUAAAGUAUCUGCUUUUUACUGGCUCAGCUUUUUUUGACGCUGUUAUACCUUUGAAAUGAAACUCGAGAGUCCACCUUUCAUUCAAAUAGGGAUGUAAAUUCCCUAGGAAACUGGUUCAUAUUCUUUAGGAAUGUCUGCAUUUUCACAAGAGUCAAAGAACCCAAAUGUCUACAUUAUAGGUCUAAGUUAUGUGCAAUUUAACAAGGGUUAGAGUAACAACAGAAACAAUUCAGAAAAGUAUACGUUUGUAAUUUAAUUAUUCAAUUAUUCCCUUCUAAAGUUCUUAAUAAAUAUUUAAAUAUUGCACACAGCAAGAUAAGUGAAACAUCAACAUUGCAACAUGGCACCGAUUCAGGAUGCACCAUUGGAUAUUGGACUCAUCAGGCCUUUAGGACACAAGCUAGUCAGUGAACAUCAAGUAUAUUUUUUGAUGAACUAUUUGCAAAUUAGAUGUAUUACAAAUGUUUGCUCAUUUAAUUAGAAUAUAAAAGAUGAUUUCUUUGACUGGA
Molecule: long non-coding RNA, 11722 nt
Organism: Gallus gallus (chicken)
Lineage: Eukaryota; Metazoa; Chordata; Aves; Galliformes; Phasianidae
Exons: 26
Source: RefSeq, a predicted model, not a curated record